This 492-nucleotide ribosomal RNA is filed under the name uncultured bacterium. Its description in RNAcentral is "partial 16S ribosomal RNA". It matches the Rfam family "Bacterial small subunit ribosomal RNA", at positions 29 to 507 of the family's 1533-position model. The record is from RNAcentral.
AGUGAACGCUGGCGGUAGGCCUAACACAUGCAAGUCGAACGGCAGCACAGUAAGAGCUUGCUCUUACGGGUGGCGAGUGGCGGACGGGUGCGGAAUACAUCGGAAUCUACUUUUUCGUGGGGGAUAACGUAGGGAAACUUACGCUAAUACCGCAUACGACCUACGGGUGAAAGCAGGGGAUCUUCGGACCUUGCGCGAUUGAAUGAGCCGAUGUCGGAUUAGCUAGUUGGCGGGGUAAAGGCCCACCAAGGCGACGAUCCGUAGCUGGUCUGAGAGGAUGAUCAGCCACACUGGAACUGAGACACGGUCCAGACUCCUACGGGAGGCAGCAGUGGGGAAUAUUGGACAAUGGGCGCAAGCCUGAUCCAGCCAUACCGCGUGGGUGAAGAAGGCCUUCGGGUUGUAAAGCCCUUUUGUUGGGAAAGAAAAGCAGCGGGUUAAUACCCCGCUGUUCUGACGGUACCCAAAGAAUAAGCACCGGCUAACUUCGUG